Molecule: small nuclear RNA, 196 nt
Organism: Fukomys damarensis (Damara mole-rat)
Lineage: Eukaryota; Metazoa; Chordata; Mammalia; Rodentia; Bathyergidae
Gene: U2
Rfam family: U2 spliceosomal RNA
About the family: U2 is a small nuclear RNA (snRNA) component of the spliceosome (involved in pre-mRNA splicing).
Source: Ensembl
GCUGCUUCUCGGCCUUUUGACUAAGAGCAAGGGCAGUACAGUAUUUGUUUUUAUCAGCUUAAUGUCUGAUGCGACCUCUGGCCAAGGACAAUCUACUAAGUGGACUUCUGGGGCAGGGCGAUGGAAUAGGAGCUUGCUCCAUCCACUUCAUGCAUCGACCUGGUGUUAGAGUAGACCCAGAAACAGUCCAUAAAUC